Molecule: ribosomal RNA, 177 nt
Filed under: uncultured bacterium
Lineage: Bacteria
Description: partial 16S ribosomal RNA
Source: RNAcentral
GGAUGCCCUCCGUCGUCUCCUUGGCACCCCUUAUAACCUGUUACCCGCGUUCGGACUAGGUCGGUACGGCGCACUCACUACUUCCGGGAAACCAACAUUUUGAGAAAAUUGCUACUUCUAUUACUGCCAUUAGCAUCUUAUUCAAGGCCGUUUGAAGCACGGUCGUCGGCGCCAUUA